Molecule: transfer RNA, 75 nt
Filed under: Deinococcus daejeonensis
Lineage: Bacteria; Thermotogati; Deinococcota; Deinococci; Deinococcales; Deinococcaceae
Description: tRNA-Arg
Source: RNAcentral
CUCCUCGUAGCGGAGGUUGAUGCUCUUGCCUUCGGCGCGGGGGCGGAUGGCGGCGCUGUCCCCGUCGAAGGUGAC